GACGAACGCUGGCGGCGUGCCUAAUACAUGCAAGUAGAACGCUGAAGAGAGGAGCUUGCUCUUCUUGGAUGAGUUGCGAACGGGUGAGUAACGCGUAGGUAACCUGCCUUGUAGCGGGGGAUAACUAUUGGAAACGAUAGCUAAUACCGCAUAACAAUGGAUGACACAUGUCAUUUAUUUGAAAGGGGCAAUUGUUCCACUACAAGAUGGACCUGCGUUGUAUUAGCUAGUAGGUGAGGUAAUGGCUCACCUAGGCGACGAUACAUAGCCGACCUGAGAGGGUGAUCGGCCACACUGGGACUGAGACACGGCCCAGACUCCUACGGGAGGCAGCGGUAGGGAAUCUUCGGCAAUGGGGGCAACCCUGACCGAGCAACGCCGCGUGAGUGAAGAAGGUUUUCGGAUCGUAAAGCUCUGUUGUAAGUCAAGAACGGGUGUGAGAGUGGAAAGUUCACACUGUGACGGUAGCUUACCAGAAAGGGACGGCUAACUACGUG
Molecule: ribosomal RNA, 497 nt
Filed under: uncultured bacterium
Lineage: Bacteria
Description: partial 16S ribosomal RNA
Rfam family: Bacterial small subunit ribosomal RNA
Source: RNAcentral